GAUGAAGAACGUAGCGAAAUGCGAAAAGUAAUGUGAAUUGCAGAAUUCAGUGAAUCAUCGAAUCUUUGAACGCACAUUGCGCCCGCUGGUACUCCGGCGGGCACGCCUGUCCGAGCGUCAUUUCAACCCUCAAGCCCUCCUUCGGGAUGGGCCUGGUGUUGGGGCUCGGCCGCCAUCUCCGGCGGCCGUCCCCUAAAUACAGUGGCGGUCACGUCGCGACUCCUUUGCGUAGUAGAAACACCUCGCUCCGGAUAGCAACGCGGUCCACGCCGUAAAAUCCCCAAUUUUCAAUGGUUGACCUCGGAUCAGGUGGGAAUACCCGCUGAACUUACGCAUAUCAAUAAGCGGAGGA
This 352-nucleotide unclassified non-coding RNA is filed under the name soil metagenome. RNAcentral describes it as "partial contains 5.8S ribosomal RNA, internal transcribed spacer 2, and large subunit ribosomal RNA". The stretch from base 1 to 120 matches the Rfam family "5.8S ribosomal RNA", at positions 35 to 154 of the family's 154-position model. The record is from RNAcentral.